GAUCAUGGCUCAGGAUGAACGCUAGCUACAGGCUUAACACAUGCAAGUCGAGGGGAAACGACAUCGAAAGCUUGCUUUUGAUGGGCGUCGACCGGCGCACGGGUGAGUAACGCGUAUGCAACUUGCCUAUCAGAGGAGAAUAGCUCAUCGAAAGAUGAAUUAAUGCUCCAUGAAACAGGGGUCCCGCAUGGGAAUAUUUGUUAAAGAUUCAUCGCUG
This 217-nucleotide ribosomal RNA is filed under the name uncultured bacterium. RNAcentral describes it as "partial 16S ribosomal RNA". It matches the Rfam family "Bacterial small subunit ribosomal RNA", at positions 15 to 220 of the family's 1533-position model. The record is from RNAcentral.